CAGUCGAGCGAGUCUGCCUUGAAGAUCGAAGUGCUUGCACUCUGUGAAACAAGAUACAGGCUAGCGGCGGACGGGUGAGUAACACGUGGGUAACCUGCCCAAGAGAUCGGGAUAACACCUGGAAACAGAUGCUAAUACCGGAUAACAACAGAUGAUGCCUAUCAACUGUUUAAAAGAUGGCUCUGCUAUCACUCUUGGAUGGACCUGCGGUGCAUUAGCUAGUUGGUAGGGUAACGGCCUACCAAGGCGAUGAUGCAUAGCCGAGUUGAGAGACUGAUCGGCCACAUUGGGACUGAGACACGGCCCAAACUCCUACGGGAGGCAGCAGUAGGGAAUCUUCCACAAUGGACGCAAGUCUGAUGGAGCAACGCCGCGUGAGUGAAGAAGGGUUUCGGCUCGUAAAGCUCUGUUGUUGGUGAAGAAGGACGGGGGUAGUAACUGACCUUUGUUUGACGGUAAUCAAUUAGAAAGUCACGGCUAACUACGUGCCAGCAGCCGCGGUAAUACGUAGGUGGCAAGCGUUGUCCGGAUUUAUUGGGCGUAAAGCGAGUGCAGGCGGUUCGAUAAGUCUGAUGUGAAAGCCUUCGGCUCAACCGGAGAAUUGCAUCAGAAACUGUCGAGCUUGAGUACAGAAGAGGAGAGUGGAACUCCAUGUGUAGCGGUGAAAUGCGUAGAUAUAUGGAAGAACACCGGUGGCGAAGGCGGCUCUCUGGUCUGUUACUGACGCUGAAGCUCGAAAGCAUGGGUAGC
Molecule: ribosomal RNA, 750 nt
Filed under: uncultured bacterium
Lineage: Bacteria
Description: bacterial SSU rRNA
Rfam family: Bacterial small subunit ribosomal RNA
Source: RNAcentral